AGCUUUGUGCAGUGGUAGUAUUGUAGCCCGUGAGGUUAAACCGAGACGUGAUUAUUGUUAGUUGAAAACUUUAUCCAAUACCCCGCUGCACUGGCUUGAAAGAGUCUGUGUUAGCAAUUUUUGUCAGUAUCUGCAGAGA
Molecule: small nuclear RNA, 139 nt
Filed under: Sphenodon punctatus (tuatara)
Lineage: Eukaryota; Metazoa; Chordata; Lepidosauria; Sphenodontia; Sphenodontidae
Description: U4 spliceosomal RNA (ENSSPUG00000009802.1)
Rfam family: U4 spliceosomal RNA
About the family: U4 small nuclear RNA (U4 snRNA) is a component of the major U2-dependent spliceosome. The structure of U4 snRNA from yeast and human has been reported. U4 snRNA presents a k-turn RNA motif in the 5p-SL related to recognition of Snu13 protein.
Source: Rfam by way of RNAcentral